This 497-nucleotide ribosomal RNA is filed under the name uncultured bacterium. Its description in RNAcentral is "partial 16S ribosomal RNA". It matches the Rfam family "Bacterial small subunit ribosomal RNA", at positions 28 to 507 of the family's 1533-position model. The record is from RNAcentral.
GAUGAACGCUGGCGGCGUGCCUAAUACAUGCAAGUCGAGCGAACAGACGAGGAGCUUGCUCCUCUGACGUUAGCGGCGGACGGGUGAGUAACACGUGGAUAACCUACCUAUAAGACUGGGAUAACUUCGGGAAACCGGAGCUAAUACCGGAUAAUAUAUUGAACCGCAUGGUUCAAUAGUGAAAGACGGUUUUGCUGUCACUUAUAGAUGGAUCCGCGCCGCAUUAGCUAGUUGGUAAGGUAACGGCUUACCAAGGCAACGAUGCGUAGCCGACCUGAGAGGAGGAUCGGCCACACUGGAACUGAGACACGGUCCAGACUCCUACGGGAGGCAGCAGUAGGGAAUCUUCCGCAAUGGGCGAAAGACUGACGGAGCAACGCCGCGUGAGUGAUGAAGGUCUUCGGAUCGUAAAACUCUGUUAUUAGGGAAGAACAAAUGUGUAAGUAACUAUGCACGUCUUGACGGUACCUAAUCAGAAAGCCACGGCUAACUACGUG